This is a long non-coding RNA of Haliotis rubra (blacklip abalone), 1110 nucleotides long. RefSeq lists it as uncharacterized. The transcript has 2 exons. NCBI's taxonomy places the organism in Eukaryota, Metazoa, Mollusca, Gastropoda, Lepetellida, Haliotidae. The record is from RefSeq and is a predicted model, not a curated record.
UUAAUGAUAUAGUGUGCUUUUUACAAAGAAUUUUGUCGAUAUAGAUGGGACAUACCGCUCAACGCAUGGGAAAAGGCACUUUAAAAUAGCAUACUGGUUGUGUUUUGUAUUUUUUAGUUUUCUCUAAUAUGUAAUAUUUAUCAGGUAGUCCAUGUUAGUUAUUUUAUAGAAUCCAUGUUAUAGCUACAAGUUACCCAUAAGACGUAUAACAACCAUUUUUGUCAAUGUAUAAUGUAUAAGAAGUCCAAUUGAUUCAAGUAUAUCAAUAGCUAUUAAUGAAUGUGUGGGUUUUGCCCAAACAGGGUCAAACGAAUUAUUACCUGUCUUUUCCCCAAUUAGUCUUCGAUACACAAAGGAUCAGAUAACACUCAACGGAAGACUUUCUAUACCUGACAUCUGAAUUCAGUUUUUUUCAUUCUUGUGCUUUUCGUGGAAUAUUCUGCCUUGCGGGACAGGUCCCGUUUCUCACCAGACUCUGGGAACAUCCACCCUCUUCCUUCGUUUCACAGGUUAGGGCGGGCCUUCUUGACCUGCUUCUUCAAUCCACCAUGGAGCUCUUCAUUGUGCACCUGCUGGACUGGGGAGAUGUCUUCUUGAACACGUUGGCGGAGACGACCAUGCUCUGCGUUUUCAACAGGGGGGUGAGCGGAUCACUGUUGGAAGUGACAUGAUCGCCAGUGGUACUACAGCGGCCCUUACAUCCUUGAACAACAUCUCUCAUGAUCAAGGUUUAAUUGUAACAACAAUGUUUGGGAGAUAAUCAUCAUCUGUGUACACACAUAAUCCGUACUAUUAACGAUAUGUAGAAACAGUAAGCAUGGUAAGGUUCCAUGAUCAGUAUAUUUCACUUAUGGAGAAGCCUGUUCUCUCAUGACCAAAGUAUGUGAGUAUGGUAAGAUCAAGAUCAAACAGUCACUUUGUCAGUCACUAAGAACUUGGAGCAGAGUAGUAUACAGGCACAGGUAAUUAUACUUGGGACAUAUUCAUUUAUGCAAAAGGAGUGUCCCACAUUCCCUUCACUUUCACCGUUGACAAAUUGGGAUAUAGGCAAAAUGGUACUAAACGUUUGAUUUCUGUUUACACAGAUGGUAACCAACAGAGCCACACAAA